GACGAACGCUGGCGGCGUGCUUAACACAUGCAAGUCGAACGGAAAGGCCCUGCUUUUGUGGGGUGCUCGAGUGGCGAACGGGUGAGUAACACGUGAGUAACCUGCCCUUGACUUUGGGAUAACUUCAGGAAACUGGGGCUAAUACCGGAUAGGAGCUCCUGCUGCAUGGUGGGGGUUGGAAAGUUUCGGCGGUUGGGGAUGGACUCGCGGCUUAUCAGCUUGUUGGUGGGGUAGUGGCUUACCAAGGCUUUGACGGGUAGCCGGCCUGAGAGGGGGACCGGCCACAUUGGGACUGAGAUACGGCCCAGACGCCUACGGGAGGCAGCAGUGGAGAAUAUUGCACAAUGGGCGGAAGCCUGAUGCAGCAACGCCGCGUGCGGGAUGACGGCCUUCUGGGUGUAAACCGCUGUCGCCUGUGACGAAGCGUGAGUGACGGUAAUGGGUAAAGAAGCACCGGCUAACUACGUG
This 468-nucleotide ribosomal RNA is filed under the name uncultured bacterium. RNAcentral's name for it is "partial 16S ribosomal RNA". It matches the Rfam family "Bacterial small subunit ribosomal RNA", at positions 28 to 507 of the family's 1533-position model. The record is from RNAcentral.